GUGUCAGCAGCCGCGGUAAUACGUAGGGUCCGAGCGUUGUCCGGAAUUAUUGGGCGUAAAGGGCUCGUAGGCGGUCUGUCGCGUCGGGAGUGAAAACUCAGGGCUCAACCCUGAGCGUGCUUCCGAUACGGGCAGACUAGAGGUAUGCAGGGGAGAACGGAAUUCCUGGUGUAGCGGUGGAAUGCGCAGAUAUCAGGAGGAACACCGGUGGCGAAGGCGGUUCUCUGGGCAUUACCUGACGCUGAGGAGCGAAAGCAUGGGGAGCGAACAGGAUUAGAUACCCUGGUAGUCCAUGCCGUAAACGUUGGGCGCUAGGUGUGGGGACCUUCCACGGUUUCCGUGCCGCAGCUAACGCAUUAAGCGCCCCGCCUGGGGAGUACGGCCGCAAGGCUAAA
Molecule: ribosomal RNA, 395 nt
Filed under: uncultured bacterium
Lineage: Bacteria
Description: bacterial SSU rRNA
Rfam family: Bacterial small subunit ribosomal RNA
Source: RNAcentral